CCUACGGGUGGCUGCAGUCGAGAAUCAUUCACAAUGGGGGAAACCCUGAUGGUGCGACGCCGCGUGGGGGAAUGAAGGUCUUCGGAUUGUAAACCCCUGUCAUGUGGGAGCAAAUUAAAAAGAUAGUACCACAAGAGGAAGAGACGGCUAACUCUGUGCCAGCAGCAGCGGUAAUACAGAGGUCUCAAGCGUUGUUCGGAAUCACUGGGCGUAAGGCGUGCGUAGGCUGUUUCGUAAGUCAUGUGUGAAAGGCGCGGGCUCAACCCGCGGACGGCACAUGAUACUGCGGGACUAGAGUAAUGGAGGGGGAACCGGAAUUCUCGGUGUAGCAGUGAAAUGCGUAGAUAUCGAGAGGAACACUCGUGGCGAAGGCGGGUUCCUGGACAUUAACUGACGCUGAGGCACGAAGGCCAGGGGAGCGAAAGGGAUUAGAUACCCUUGUAGUC
This 446-nucleotide ribosomal RNA is filed under the name uncultured bacterium. RNAcentral describes it as "partial 16S ribosomal RNA". It matches the Rfam family "Bacterial small subunit ribosomal RNA", at positions 338 to 795 of the family's 1533-position model. The record is from RNAcentral.